GAAAUGCGAUAAGUAAUGUGAAUUGCAGAAUUCAGUGAAUCAUUGAAUCUUUGAACGCACAUUGCGCCCGCCAGUAUUCUGGCGGGCAUGCCUGUCCGAGCGUCAUUUCAACCAUCAAGCCCCCGGGCUUGUGUUGGGGACCUGCGGCUGCCCGCAGGCCCUGAAAACCAGUGGCGGGCUCGCUGUCACACCGAGCGUAGUAGCAAUCACCUCGCUCAGGGCGUGCUGCGGGUUCCGGCCGUUAAACAGCCUUACAAAACCCAAGGUUGACCUCGGAUCAGGUAGGAAGACCCGCUGAACUUAAGC
Molecule: unclassified non-coding RNA, 306 nt
Filed under: plant metagenome
Description: partial contains 5.8S ribosomal RNA, internal transcribed spacer 2, and large subunit ribosomal RNA
Rfam family: 5.8S ribosomal RNA (bases 1-105)
Source: RNAcentral